RNAcentral lists this ribosomal RNA (459 nucleotides) under uncultured bacterium. Its description in RNAcentral is "partial 16S ribosomal RNA". It matches the Rfam family "Bacterial small subunit ribosomal RNA", at positions 338 to 795 of the family's 1533-position model. The record is from RNAcentral.
CCUACGGGCGGCAGCAGUGAGGAAUAUUGGUCAAUGGCCGCAGGGCUGAACCAGCCAAGUCGCGUGAGGGAUGACGGUCCUAUGGAUUGUAAACCUCUUUUGUCAGGGAGCAAAGGGCGCCACGUGUGGCGCUUUGCGAGUACCUGAAGAAAAAGCAUCGGCUAACUCCGUGCCAGCAGCCGCGGUAAUACGGAGGAUGCGAGCGUUAUCCGGAUUUAUUGGGUUUAAAGGGUGCGCAGGCGGAAUGUCAAGUCAGCGGUAAAAUUUCGGGGCUCAACCCCGUCGUGCCGUUGAAACUGGCGUUCUUGAGUGAGCGAGAAGUAUGCGGAAUGCGUGGUGUAGCGGUGAAAUGCAUAGAUAUCACGAAGAACUCCGAUUGCGAAGGCAGCAUACCGGCGCUCAACUGACGCUCAUGCACGAAAGCGUGGGUAUCGAACAGGAUUAGAUACCCCAGUAGUC